This 468-nucleotide ribosomal RNA is filed under the name uncultured bacterium. RNAcentral's name for it is "partial 16S ribosomal RNA". It matches the Rfam family "Bacterial small subunit ribosomal RNA", at positions 28 to 507 of the family's 1533-position model. The record is from RNAcentral.
GACGAACGCUGGCGGCGUGCUUAACACAUGCAAGUCGAACGGACAGGCCCUGCUUUUGUGGGGUGCUCGAGUGGCGAACGGGUGAGUAACACGUGAGUAACCUGCCCUUGACUUUGGGAUAACUUCAGGAAACUGGGGCUAAUACCGGAUAGGAGCUCCUGCUGCAUGGUGGGGGUUGGAAAGUUUCGGCGGUUGGGGAUGGACUCGCGGCUUAUCAGCUUGUUGGUGGGGUAGUGGCUUACCAAGGCUUUGACGGGUAGCCGGCCUGAGAGGGUGACCGGCCACAUUGGGACGGAGAUACGGCCCAGACUCCUACGGGAGGCAGCAGUGGGGAAUAGUACACAAUGGGCGGAAGCCUGAUGCAGCAACGCCGCGUGCGGGAUGACGGCCUUCGGGUUGUAAACCGCUUUCGCCUGUGACGAAGCGUGAGUGACGGUAAUGGGUAAAGAAGCACCGGCUAACUACGUG